UAAAAAUGUCUUGAAUAGAACUCCAGUUGCUCAGAAAAUAGUAGUGAGUAUUGACAAAUGGGAUUGUAUCAAAUUAAAAAGCUCUUGCACAACAAAGAAAACAACUAACAGAGUAAAGACAUGGCUUACAUAAUGGGAGAAAAAUCAUUGCCAGCUACUCUUUUGACAAAGAAUUGGUUUCCAGACUAUAUAAAAAAAUCUGAAAAACUAAAUGCUAAUAACUAAAUAACUUAUUUGGUAAAUGAGCAAGUGAACUGAACAGAAACUACUCAAAAGUACAGAUGGCUAACAAAUAUAUAUAAAAAAGGUUCAACAUCUUUAUCUGUCAAGGAAAUGAAAAUUAAAUCUAUGCUGAGAUUUCAUCUCAUUCUAAGCAUAAUGAUAAUCAUCAUGAAUACAAACAAUAAUAAAUGUUGGUGAAGAAGUAGGGAAAGAGGAAUUCUGAUCCAUUAUUUGUGAGGCUGUAUAUUAAUAUAACCACAAUGGAAAUCUGUAUGGAGGCUCCUCAAAAAAAUAAAAACAGAACAACACUAUGAUUUAGUUAUACCACUCCUUGAUAUUUAUCCAAAGGAAUUAAUGUCAGCGACUUUAAAGAUAUAUGCAUACCCAUGUUUAUCACAGCACAAUUCAUAAUAGCCAAGUUAUGUCCUCAGCCUAAGUAUCUGUCAAUAGAUGAAUAGAUAAAGAAAAUGUGGUAUGUAUAUACAGUGGAAUUUUAUUCAGCCAUAGAGAAGAAUGAAAUUAUAUAAUUUGCAGAAAGAUAGAUGGAAUUGUAGACCAUCAUGUUAAGCAAAGUGGGUUAGAUUCAGAAAGUGAAAUACAUAUGUUUUCUUUCACAUGUAGGAGCGAGAAUGGAAAGAAAGGAAUAACAUGAAAAUGGAAGGGACACCGAUACAGUAGAAGAAAGGGAACAGGAAAGGGAGGAGGCCAGGGUAAAAUUGAUAGUAUUGUGUUAUAUGACUGCAUCAGUAUGCCACAAUGAAACCCAUCAUUCUGUAUAAAUAAAAUAAACUAACAAAAAUGAUUUGAACGUUUAAAAAAGAAUAUGAGAAAGCUUCUGACUUUCAAAUGACUGGAUAUGAAGUAACCAUAGGAUUCUACAAAUCUUCCAACUGGAAUUAUGCAUGCUUGUGUCUUAUAGAAUAAGAUGAACAGCUCCAAAUAGUAUAGUUAAGAGGGUGUUAAGUUUUUCAUACUUUGUAGCAUCUUUAAAAAAUUCAACUUAAACUUUCAUCUGAAUUAAUCACCAAAGUGAAUAUUUCCAUAACUUGUCUAUUUCUACAUUAUCUCAUUAUCCC
Molecule: long non-coding RNA, 1298 nt
Filed under: Marmota monax (woodchuck)
Lineage: Eukaryota; Metazoa; Chordata; Mammalia; Rodentia; Sciuridae
Source: RNAcentral